Hermetia illucens (black soldier fly) is the source of this 521-nucleotide long non-coding RNA. RefSeq lists it as uncharacterized. NCBI's taxonomy places the organism in Eukaryota, Metazoa, Arthropoda, Insecta, Diptera, Stratiomyidae. The transcript has 3 exons. The record is from RefSeq and is a predicted model, not a curated record.
AAUUUGUCAAUAGCUAAUAAGGGUUAUAUCAGGCGCGUUUAUAAUCUGCAUGUUGUUAUUGGAAAUAUAUUUCUACAGAAAUUUUGUUAUUGCAGUGCUCACCACCUCGAAGUAGGGACCUUAUUACCCUGUUCCUGUUUCGUUUCCUAUCCCUUCCAUAUCUAUUUGUUAAACUACCGUCGGUUUUUCCCGCUUUGGUUUAUUCCUGUCAUUCAAUGUGGUAACUGUAAGCAAGAGAAAGCAGCGAAGACUACUGCCUACACGAGAUCAUACAUGCUGAUGGGAGAUGCAUGUUUCGUUGAAAGGAUGUCCCUUAAAAAUGGAGAUCGCCAUGGUUUGGUUUUUUAACAAAAGGAAACAGACGACCUAGAUAUCCUCCCAGCGCCAAUGCAAUAAAGAAUGAAUAUCUACGCUACUUCAGUAAUAUAGUAUCCAACUCCUUCACCUAUGUAGGAUCUCUCAGGGAUUGCUUCUAUUUCCACCCUUGUGGAAUAUCAAGUAUGAUGGAAUUUUACGCCUGG